AACGAACGCUGGCGGCAUGCCUAACACAUGCGAGUCGAACGAUGCCUUCGGGCAUAGUGGCGCACGGGUGCGUAACGCGUGGGAAUCUGCCUUUCGGUUCGGAAUAACUCAGGGAAACUUGAGCUAAUACCGGAUAACGUCGCAAGACCAAAGAUUUAUCACCGAAAGAUGAGCCCGCGUAGGAUUAGCUAGUUGGUGAGGUAAAGGCUCACCAAGGCGACGAUCCUUAGCUGGUCUGAGAGGAUGAUCAGCCACACUGGGACUGAGACACGGCCCAGACUCCUACGGGAGGCAGCAGUGGGGAAUAUUGGACAAUGGGCGAAAGCCUGAUCCAGCAAUGCCGCGCGAGUGAUGAAGGCCUUAGGGUUGUAAAGCUCUUUUACCCGGGAAGAUAAUGACGGUACCGGGAGAAUAAGCCCCGGCUAACUCCGUG
Molecule: ribosomal RNA, 433 nt
Filed under: uncultured bacterium
Lineage: Bacteria
Description: partial 16S ribosomal RNA
Rfam family: Bacterial small subunit ribosomal RNA
Source: RNAcentral